GGAAGAGAAAUGCCCUCCAUGCUUCUGGCUUGGGAGUUGAGAGGACCAGGCCUGGAGCCACUGGUGACCAUCUUGCCACUAUGAGGGGAGUGCCUGCUGUGAAGUGAAUCACUGUAGAGCAACGCAGGGCCAGGGGUCCAGACAGCUGCGCUGCUGACACUUCAGCUGUGCCUGAAGCUUGUGUGGACUUUUUAAGUUAUGUGAACCAAUACAUUCUCUUUUAACU
Molecule: long non-coding RNA, 226 nt
Filed under: Homo sapiens (human)
Lineage: Eukaryota; Metazoa; Chordata; Mammalia; Primates; Hominidae
Description: HSALNT0060357
Source: RNAcentral